This 546-nucleotide ribosomal RNA is filed under the name uncultured Comamonadaceae bacterium. RNAcentral's name for it is "bacterial SSU rRNA". It matches the Rfam family "Bacterial small subunit ribosomal RNA", at positions 90 to 632 of the family's 1533-position model. Lineage: Bacteria; Pseudomonadati; Pseudomonadota; Betaproteobacteria; Burkholderiales; Comamonadaceae. The record is from RNAcentral.
GGCGAGUGGCGAACGGGUGAGUAAUACAUCGGAACGUGCCCAGUCGUGGGGGAUAACGUAGCGAAAGCUACGCUAAUACCGCAUACGAUCUAUGGAUGAAAGCGGGGGACCGUAAGGCCUCGCGCGAUUGGAGCGGCCGAUGGCAGAUUAGGUAGUUGGUGGGGUAAAGGCUCACCAAGCCUUCGAUCUGUAGCUGGUCUGAGAGGACGACCAGCCACACUGGGACUGAGACACGGCCCAGACUCCUACGGGAGGCAGCAGUGGGGAAUUUUGGACAAUGGGCGCAAGCCUGAUCCAGCCAUUCUGCGUGCAGGAUGAAGGCCUUCGGGUUGUAAACUGCUUUUGUACGGAACGAAAAAGCUCUUUCUAAUACAGAGAGUCCAUGACGGUACCGUAAGAAUAAGCACCGGCUAACUACGUGCCAGCAGCCGCGGUAAUACGUAGGGUGCAAGCGUUAAUCGGAAUUACUGGGCGUAAAGCGUGCGCAGGCGGUGAUGUAAGACAGAUGUGAAAUCCCCGGGCUCAACCUGGGAACUGCAUUUGUGA